This 253-nucleotide ribosomal RNA is filed under the name uncultured bacterium. Its description in RNAcentral is "partial 16S ribosomal RNA". It matches the Rfam family "Bacterial small subunit ribosomal RNA", at positions 524 to 776 of the family's 1533-position model. The record is from RNAcentral.
UACGAAGGGUGCAAGCGUUAUUCGGAGUUACUGGGCGUAAAGAGUAUGUAGGCGGUUUGUUAAGUCAGUUGUUAAAUACCACAGCUCAACUGUGGAAAGGCAGCUGAAACUGACUUGCUAGAGUGCAGAAGAGAGGAGUGGAAUUCCCGGAGUAGCGGUAAAAUGCGUAGAUCUCGGGAGGAACACCGGUUGCGAAGGCGGCUUCUUGGUCUGUGUCUGACGCUAAAGUACGAAAGCGUGGGGAGCAAACAGG